GGGCGGGCGCCAGGGGGCGCCGCCCGUCCCGGCCCCUCAGGGCGGGUCCCGCCGGACCCCCGGUGGGGAUUCCGCGGUGCCCGGCCCGGCUCUUCCCGCUCGCCUUCUUCCCGCACGGCCCCAGGACCCCUCGGCACCCCGCGACCUUCCCCGAGCCAAACAUGCGCCUGGGUCGCCGGCAGUAACGCGCAGAGCGCUGUGGAGUGGAAGCGAGAGCAGCAUCCCUCCCCGUGGCUCCCCAUGCACCGCGGUGCGGGGUACACGGACAUCGGAGUUUCCUGUGGGAAUAGUCCCUCAAAAAUCCUCCGUGUGAUGGCACGUGGCCAGGCAACAGCCGUGGAGAACCCCGCUUUGUCACAGCUGAUGACAGAAUCGCUGAGAACAAGAACUGAUAGUAAAUCUCCUUGUCAGAGCUCAGAGAUUGGAUACAACCCAAGCAACAUGCACAAAUGGUGUGAUUUUACAGGAAUAUCCAGCUCAGAACCCCCUUGGUUCCCAUCCUUGCCAGCCUGGAGCUGCCCCACCAGCCUGGAACCCUUUGUGCCUGCGAGGUGUGAGCCUUGCAGGCAGCCAGCGAGGCAGAUGGUUGGGAAGCUCCCUUUUCUACAAAGAAUUUAUAAAUUUAGGAUUUUUUCGGCGCAACCCUGA
This 648-nucleotide long non-coding RNA is filed under the name Parus major (Great Tit). Its description in RNAcentral is "lncRNA (ENSPMJG00000005853.1)". Lineage: Eukaryota; Metazoa; Chordata; Aves; Passeriformes; Paridae. The record is from RNAcentral.